GGGGGAUAAUUCAUGUGAUAUAAUUUUGGUAAGUUUACAGAAAUAGAAGGUCCAUAUAUCAUGCAUUAAUCGAGUAAAAAUGGAACAAUUUCAGAAAACUUUAAUGAUUGGUUUAGGAGGUGUUGGAAAUACCUGAUGGGUGCCCCCAUAUAAUGCAAUGUUCAAGUCCGUAUCUUAUAUAAAGUAACCCCAUAAAAGAUUUUUUACUAAAAUUCGAAAUGGACGGUGC
RNAcentral lists this long non-coding RNA (229 nucleotides) under Mytilus galloprovincialis (Mediterranean mussel). Lineage: Eukaryota; Metazoa; Mollusca; Bivalvia; Mytilida; Mytilidae. The record is from RNAcentral.